RNAcentral lists this ribosomal RNA (512 nucleotides) under Colletotrichum nymphaeae. RNAcentral describes it as "eukaryotic LSU rRNA". The stretch from base 166 to 319 matches the Rfam family "5.8S ribosomal RNA". The record is from RNAcentral. Lineage: Eukaryota; Fungi; Ascomycota; Sordariomycetes; Glomerellales; Glomerellaceae.
UACCCUUUGUGAACAUACCUAACCGUUGCUUCGGCGGGCAGGGGAAGCCUCUCGCGGGCCUCCCCUCCCGGCGCCGGCCCCCACCACGGGGACGGGGCGCCCGCCGGAGGAAACCAAACUCUAUUUACACGACGUCUCUUCUGAGUGGCACAAGCAAAUAAUUAAAACUUUUAACAACGGAUCUCUUGGUUCUGGCAUCGAUGAAGAACGCAGCGAAAUGCGAUAAGUAAUGUGAAUUGCAGAAUUCAGUGAAUCAUCGAAUCUUUGAACGCACAUUGCGCUCGCCAGCAUUCUGGCGAGCAUGCCUGUUCGAGCGUCAUUUCAACCCUCAAGCACCGCUUGGUUUUGGGGCCCCACGGCACACGUGGGCCCUUAAAGGUAGUGGCGGACCCUCCCGGAGCCUCCUUUGCGUAGUAACUAACGUCUCGCACUGGGAUUCGGAGGGACUCUUGCCGUAAAACCCCCAAAUUUUUUACAGGUUGACCUCGGAUCAGGUAGGAAUACCCGCUGAA